AGCUCGAUGGUGUAGUUGGUUAUCACAUCUGUCUAACAUCCGACUGUUGGAUGAUUAUGCACAGAAGGUCCUCAGGUCAAACCUAAGUCAAAUCA
Molecule: non-coding RNA, 95 nt
Organism: Mycena floridula
Lineage: Eukaryota; Fungi; Basidiomycota; Agaricomycetes; Agaricales; Mycenaceae
Source: the annotation of a GenBank genome assembly